RNAcentral lists this ribosomal RNA (350 nucleotides) under uncultured prokaryote. RNAcentral's name for it is "partial 16S ribosomal RNA". The record is from RNAcentral.
GUAGCGGUAAAGUUAGACCAAACCAUGAAACCAACAUAAACAUUAUUGCCCGGCGUACGGGGAAGGACGUCAAUAGUCACACAGUCCUUGACGGUAUAAUAACCACCAUCAUGGCGACCAUCCAAAGGAUAAACAUCAUAGGCAGUCGGGAGGGUAGUCGGAACCGAAGAAGACUCAAAGCGAACCAAACAGGCAAAAAAUUUAGGGUCGGCAUCAAAAGCAAUAUCAGCACCAACAGAAACAACCUGAUUAGCGGCGUUGACAGAUGUAUCCAUCUGAAUGCAAUGAAGAAAACCACCAUUCCCAGCAUUAACCGUCAAUCUAUCAAAAUAUAACGUUGACGAUGUAGC